AUGGUGGGGGUUAAUACCUUAAAACAUGGUUAUAUUUGGCGAGUUGGAAAUGGUCAGAAAAUCGACAUUUGGGAAGAUGCUUGGAUCCCUAACUGUGUUAACAGAAAAGUCAUCGCUCCAAAGGGGCAACAUUUGUUAUCAAAAGUGUUGGAUUUCAUUGACCCCUCUUCAAACAGGUGGGAUGAGGAUCUCAUCAGACAGACCUUGUGGCCCGUUAAUUCACAAGGGGUCCUUGCUAUCCCUCUGCCUCAGUUUGAUAUGUCAGAUUUUGUUGCCUGGAGCCAUACUAAGAGUGGGAUUUUUUCCGUUCGAUCUGCAUAUUUUGUUGGGUGGGAUUAUCAACAUGGAAGGAAACUUCGUCGUACUAAUGGAAUGGGUCGAACAAACUUUAAUCCAAUUUGGUGUAAGAUUUGGAAGUUAUCUUGUCCAGCGAAGGUGAAAUUUUUUAUUUGGCGAACGCUGCAUGGUACUCUUCCAUGUCGUGUUACGCUUGCUAAUAUACACAUGAAAGUUUCACCUUUAUGCCCUUUUUGUGCUUCUGGUUUAGAAGAUACAAAUCAUCUAUUGUUUCAGUGCCAGAAGGCAAAAGAGGUCUGGAGAAUGCUUGGCUUAGAUGAGAUCAUUGCUCAAGCUUGUGAAGUUGAUCGUGCUGGAGAGGCGGUCCUCGGUUUUUUGUUGCACAUGCCUGACCAAUAUUUAUCUAUUAUGGGGUCCCAGGAUAUUCGGGAGAUGAUUGCCAUUACGUCUUGGUAUUUGUGGUGGGAAAGACGAAAAUUAGUGCACAAGGAGAGAAUUCAAGAUGCAAAACAGAUUUCAAUGGGGAUACAAGCUCUUACGGCUAAUUAUGUUGUUGCUUCCAGUCUAAGGGCUUCUAUGAAAAGAGGGGGUCGGUUCAUCCCCCGGUGGGUUUUGUGA
RNAcentral lists this ribosomal RNA (915 nucleotides) under Triticum aestivum (bread wheat). Its description in RNAcentral is "partial small subunit ribosomal RNA". The record is from RNAcentral. Lineage: Eukaryota; Viridiplantae; Streptophyta; Magnoliopsida; Poales; Poaceae.